RNAcentral lists this ribosomal RNA (426 nucleotides) under Triticum aestivum (bread wheat). RNAcentral describes it as "partial small subunit ribosomal RNA". Lineage: Eukaryota; Viridiplantae; Streptophyta; Magnoliopsida; Poales; Poaceae. The record is from RNAcentral.
AUGAUCCACGAGGCCGAAGGUGAAGACGACGAUGUGUGCGGCGACACUGAAGCUCCCCGCUCUGAUCCGGUGGUCGAGGCGAUGAAGAUGACGGCGAUGAUCCUCCUGGACACCGGAGAACGACGAACGGAGGCCGGUGGUCACAGUGGUUUGCGGCGGCGUGCUCCGGUGCGCGUCGGCUUGGCGUGGAGAGAGGAGGAGGCGCGAGGGGGAGUUAACAAGGGUUCGGGGAGGGAGAGAGAGGGAGCAGGGGGCAGCUCUUAUCCACCCGGGGGACCGUGGGAUGGGCGCCACGGCGACAUCGCCAGCCGGGGAGGCAUGGAUGGCCGCCACGCUCUCCUCUGCCUCCUGCUACAGGAGGUUGAAGGAGAGAUGGUGGUGGUGGGCUGGGCCAUGCUAUUCAUCAUGGGCCUAAGUGCACAGUAG